Molecule: ribosomal RNA, 252 nt
Filed under: uncultured bacterium
Lineage: Bacteria
Description: partial 16S ribosomal RNA
Rfam family: Bacterial small subunit ribosomal RNA
Source: RNAcentral
UACAGAGGGGGCAAGCGUUGUCCGGAUUUACUGGGCGUACAGCGCGCGCAGGCGGUUGCGUAUGUGAGCGGUGACAUCCGCGGCUCAACCCGCGGCGGCCCGCUUACACAGCGCGACUGGAGGCAGGGAGAGGGAUGUGGAAUACCCGGUGGAGCGGUGAAAUGCGUAGAGAUCGGGUGGAACACCAGCGGCGAAGGCGGCGAUCCUGGCCCUGUACUGACGCUGAGGCGCGAUAGCGUGGGGAGCAACGGG